AGGAGGGCCACCUGCUUUGAGGCGGCCAGGGGGUAUUGCUGCUCAGACCCAGGGGCCUCUGUGGAGGGUCUGGGUGGCCCUGGGGGCAGCUCCAGGCUACCUGUGCCGGGUUUUCACUUUGACAAUGAGAGGAGGGUGCCUUGGAGGUGAUUGGAAGCCAGCAUGUGUCACCCAGCCCUGCAGAGAAAGGAAUCACAGCAGACAGCCCUGCCCAGCCGAGAAGAAGAGCUUGGGCUAGCCAGGAAAAGAAGAGGCCAAAUCCCAGCCUUCUAGCAAAGAGAUUCACGGGGACAGAUUAUAACUUUCUUCCGAGGUGAGAUCAAAGGCUCUGUGAGAGGCCUGCUUGUCUUUUUCUGGCAAAGCAAACUUCCCCACAUCUGUUCUGGCCGGCUCCACUAGGAAAAAAAAAGCUAUCAGGGUGCUGCAGAAGUCAGGACAACUUCCCAGGGAUGAUUCUCAGCUCCCGCCCUGGAUGUCACAGUUUAGCUACAGAAACCGAGUGGCCCAAAUAUCUGGAGGCUGAAGAUAAAUUGACAAAGAGGCGGGCCGCGCACGCUCUCACGCUUCGGCAGCUCAGAUACCUGUUACCUGGCGUUAAUUGCAUUUACAGCGGGAGAGAGAGCUUGGGCUCUCACCAGGUACCAAUUGCACGUGUGUGUUUAACUUUUUAUGGAGACUUUUAUUAACUUUUCAUUCUGGAAAUGCAUGCAUAUCCUCCCUGUGCAGCUUGAAAAAUGUUCACAGCGUGAACGCCCGUGUCACCAGCGCUCAGCUCAACACACAGAAGAUCACCCAUCCUCAGGAAGCUGCUUCUGUGCCCCAGCUUGUUUACUGAGUGUUUGCAUAAAAUAUUCACUGAUUCAUGAGUGUGGGUCAGUAAUAAAAGCCACUCCACGUUGUUAUUCCAAAGAGGAGUGAGUUUAUCCCCAAGAUUAGUUCUAGAGUCCCUGGAAGGAGAGAGAGAGAGAGAGAGAGAGGGAGAGAGUUUGAGAAAAAAGAAGAGAGCUUUCUCUCUUUCUGUCUCUCAAGUCAAGGACACAGACCUGGUAGAAAAGGCCUUGCUUUUUCAAUUACCCAGGUUCUUGGUGCCCACACGAGGAGUAAAUGCUAUUGUUUUGACUUUCUCCACCCGACAGGCCAGUCGCCACAGGAAGGAGGAGAAGCCCAGCCCAGCUGGCUGCUCAAUGUGGCACCUUCAUCGUCUGCCUACUGGCUCACUCACCUCCUCCUGCUACCUUUGAUCUGGGUGGCGCUUCUGCUCUCAGCCAGGGAAAUGAUAGUGUGGUUAAGCAGCACUGUUAGGGGCCUGGGUCCCGGGCUGGGACCAACCUCCCCACACCCAGAGGGUGCUUUCCUCCUAGCUCGGGCCCUGAUAUACACCAGGUCUACAAAAGUACGGCGUUGAGCCGUGUCGAUCCAGGUGAUGCUUUAAAUAUUUUCCAGCAAGGCUGUGAACGGUAAAAAGAGAAUUCAGAAGCUGGCUGAGAGCUGGCCUGGGCAGCUGGCAUCAACGUGUGCCCACCUUGUGCCAGGCUCUUUAAGUGCAUGAUGGCACUUCCCCUCACGUUGACUCCGUAAGGAAGGCAGGAUCACACCAGCUGGAGAUGAUGAGAAUCUUGAGGCUCCGAGAGGUGGCGGGGACCUCGUUAGCAUGACACAGCUGCAGGUGACCAGGAAGCCCACAAAAAGCUGCUCAGCAUCAUCAGAGAAGUGGAAAUGAAAACCACCCUGAGGCAGUGGAAGCAAUUGAAGGCCCACCACUGACGCGUGGACAGAUCGGCCGCACUCCAUCCGUCCAGUGGCGUAAGACUCAGCCAUAAAGAGGGGCGAGGCGCUGGCACAGGCUAAAGCACGGAGGAGCCUCGGAAACACGACGCUGCGCGGAAGAAGCCACGCACACACGGCCGUGUAUUGCGUGAUUCCACGGAUGUGACACGUCCAGAACAGGCAAGUCCUCGCGAACAGAAAGCACACUAGUGUUUGCCGGGGGCUGGUGGGUGGGGCAAUGGGGAGUGACUGCUUACAAGGUGUGGGAUUUCCUUUUGGGGAUAUGAAGAUGUUUUGGAACUAAAUAGAAAUGAUGGUUGACCAACAUGGUGGAUGUCCUCAAUGCCACUGAAUCAUACACUUUUAAAUGGUUAAUUUUCUGCUGUGUAAAUUCUAUCUCAGUAAAAACAUAUGUAAAUCAAAAAGAGAGAGAGAAAAAACCAUACUGCGAUGCCCUUUGACACACU
Molecule: long non-coding RNA, 2234 nt
Filed under: Homo sapiens (human)
Lineage: Eukaryota; Metazoa; Chordata; Mammalia; Primates; Hominidae
Description: HSALNT0197376
Source: RNAcentral